GGGAGUAGCUCAGCGGUAGAGCAUCACCUUGCCAAGGUGAGGGUCGCGGGUUCAAUCCCCGUCUCC
Molecule: transfer RNA, 66 nt
Filed under: marine eukaryotic metagenome
Rfam family: tRNA
About the family: Transfer RNA (tRNA) molecules are approximately 80 nucleotides in length. Their secondary structure includes four short double-helical elements and three loops (D, anti-codon, and T loops).
Source: RNAcentral